This 1118-nucleotide long non-coding RNA is filed under the name Bemisia tabaci. RNAcentral's name for it is "lncRNA ENSASIAIIG011950". Lineage: Eukaryota; Metazoa; Arthropoda; Insecta; Hemiptera; Aleyrodidae. The record is from RNAcentral.
AUCACGGAAUAUAGAUUGGAUUCUGAAUUUUUUUUUUUACACCGGAACGUUGCCUUCCCGAACGAGUCCUCUCUUACAUGUGCAAUAUCAAACCGUCACCAAUUCGGAGGGCCUUCCAUUCUUACUGAAUUAUCGUCACUACCGGACUGAAUAGUUUCAAUUAAAUUAAACAAUGUUGUCUAGCAAUUUUUCAUACAGUUACGUCUGCUCUAAUGAGUCUAUUAUUAGCCCCCGAAUAAAUGGUAAAUGCUACCUCGGUGACGGUUGAUCGUGUAACCUAGGCCUCCGCUCGUCGUAGCCAUACGGUGUUUUUGAGGUUAUAUGUAAACAAACUGUCAGUCCCCGCUUCGCCGCGUUCGUGUACGUACCGUAUUAGCGUGUUACUUAAUCAGUAAUAGAAGUUUUUACAAGUGCCUUGUGGAUAAUAGUGUUGAUUAUUGGUGCUGUCUACUGACCAUAUAUCUUGUUAGUGGCUGUUUGUGCCCAUGCACUAAGGCCAAAGCACCGUUACAGGGCAAAAAGUAAAAACUAAAAAAAAAAAAAAAAAAAAAAAAAAAAAAAACUAAACAAACUGUAUUUACAUUUAUCUAUCUGUACUUCCUUUCCGAAAAUAUAAUUCUUCCCUCUUCUUGUCGUCUCAAUUUAUCAUUUUUCCUUUCGGAAACAUCAGUUCACGUACCGGCGUGUGUUUGUCUGUUCACUGACUGCCCGUGCAGGAUAAAAUGAAGGAAGUUUUAUCCCUCUGGAAACCACCUUUCAUGUUCAUCGCAAACCAGUUUCACUCAAAUCAAAGUUGCUGUUACAGUUAAUGUCAACAUAAUACAAGCUUCAGUACCCGUACGCCAAUUCGAUUUGCCAGAGAGAUGAAAUUCAACGCCAAGCCUCCUCCUCGCAGCCAUGCAAUAAACAUAUUUACACAACUUUUUGUCACAUCCAGUAAUCAACAUUUGGAACCUGCACGAUUCCUCUCCAGUUUGGAGAGGUCCGAUCGUGCUAAGAAUCAGAAGCCAUGCAGGAGAAAUGAGAAGAAGAAUAUACGACCAUCGUCCAGAAAGCUGCAUUUGAAGCGAGACUGGAAAAAUAGACCAAGAUCGUCUUCGGCUGUAACAACGUGGUAA